This 268-nucleotide signal recognition particle RNA is filed under the name archaeon. RNAcentral's name for it is "signal recognition particle sRNA". It matches the Rfam family "Archaeal signal recognition particle RNA". The record is from RNAcentral.
UCGUAGGCUAGGUGGGUGUUUAGCCGUCACCUGCACCACAAGUCGGCUAUAUGGUGGACUGAAGUCUAAGGGCGGUGUCAAUUGUAAUGAUAGUCUCAAUUCGGACUGUGAUGGCUCGUCUUACAGGGUUAGUAAUUUUGUGAACUGAGUCAGGGCAGGAAUGCAGCAGCUCUAAACUUUAUUGCUGACGCUUGUAAGGUUGCGAUCCUGAGGAAGAGUUGAGGUUAAACUGUUGUUGUGAUUGGCAUCCACCUUAGACGGCCUACAU